UACGAAGGGGGCUAGCGUUGUUCGGAAUUACUGGGCGUAAAGCGCACGUAGGCGGGUUGUUAAGUCAGGGGUGAAAUCCUGGAGCUCAACUCCAGAACUGCCUUUGAUACUGGCAACCUAGAGUCUGGAAGAGGUUAGUGGAAUUCCCAGUGUAGAGGUGAAAUUCGUAGAUAUUGGGAAGAACACCAGUGGCGAAGGCGGCUAACUGGUCCAGCACUGACGCUGAGGUGCGAAAGCGUGGGGAGCAAACAGG
Molecule: ribosomal RNA, 253 nt
Filed under: uncultured bacterium
Lineage: Bacteria
Description: partial 16S ribosomal RNA
Rfam family: Bacterial small subunit ribosomal RNA
Source: RNAcentral